RNAcentral lists this ribosomal RNA (697 nucleotides) under uncultured bacterium. RNAcentral's name for it is "bacterial SSU rRNA". It matches the Rfam family "Bacterial small subunit ribosomal RNA", at positions 68 to 746 of the family's 1533-position model. The record is from RNAcentral.
GAGAAGGAGACUUCGGUCUCUGAGUAGAGCGGCGCACGGGUGAGUAACGCGUGGAUGAUCUACCCUUGAGUUCGGGAUAACGGUGCGAAAGCGCCGCUAAUACCGUAUAACAAUCCAUUUCAUCGUGGGUUCAAAGCAGGCCUCUUCAUGAAAGCUUGCGCUUGGGGAUGAGUCCGCGUCCCAUUAGCUUGUUGGCGGGGUAACGGCCCACCAAGGCUACGAUGGGUAGCUGGUCUGAGAGGAUGAUCAGCCACACUGGAACUGAAACACGGUCCAGACUCCUACGGGAGGCAGCAGUGGGGAAUAUUGCGCAAUGGGGGAAACCCUGACGCAGCGACGUCGUGUGAGGGAAGAAGGCCUUCGGGUCGUAAACCUCUGUCAGAAGGGAAGAACAUCCGGGAGUCGAACAGCCUCCCGGCCUGACGGUACCUUCAGAGGAAGCGCCGGCUAACUCCGUGCCAGCAGCCGCGGUAAUACGGAGGGCGCAAGCGUUAAUCGGAAUCACUGGGCGUAAAGCGUGCGUAGGCUGUUUGAUAAGUCAGACGUGAAAUCCCUCGGCUCAACCGGGGAACUGCGUUUGAUACUGUUGAACUAGAGUCCUGGAGAGGGUGGCGGAAUUCCUGGUGUAGGAGUGAAAUCCGUAGAUAUCAGGAGGAACACCGGUGGCGAAANGCGCCACCUGGACAGGUACUGACGC